Molecule: ribosomal RNA, 1867 nt
Filed under: uncultured bacterium
Lineage: Bacteria
Description: bacterial LSU rRNA
Rfam family: Bacterial large subunit ribosomal RNA
Source: RNAcentral
GGAAGUGAACCAUCUCAGUACCCCCUGGAAGAGAAAGCAAUUGCGAUUCCGUCAGUAGCGGCGAGCGAACGCGGAAGAGCCCAAACCGGUAGAGUGUAAGCUCGUGGGCGUUGCUUUACCGGGGUCGUGGGACGCUGUGGGUCCGACUACGAACGGACCGAGAAGUUACAAAUCACCAGCCUAGCCGAAGGAAUUUGGAACAGACCGCCAAAGAGGGUGAUAGCCCCGUAGGCGAAAGGUUCGGUGACUUCUUGGCAGCGCUCCCGAGUACCACGGGGCACGUGAAACCCCGUGGGAAUCUGGGUGGACCAUCAUCCAAGGCUAAAUACUACUCUGCGACCGAUAGUGAACCAGUACCGUGAGGGAAAGGUGAAAAGUACCCCUGCUAGGGGAGUGAAAAGUACCUGAAACCGUGCAUCUACAAGCAGUGGAAGCGCUAUGGCCGCAAGGCCACGCGCGACCGCGUGCCUUUUGCAUAAUGAGCCGGCUAGUUACUCUCAGUGGCAAGGCGAAGCGACGUGCAGAGCCGAAGCGAAAGCGAGUCUGAAUAGGGCGAUGAGUCACUGGGAGUAGACGCGAAGCGAGGUGAUCUACCCAUGGCCAGGGUGAAGCUGAGUAACACUCAGUGGAGGCCCGAACCAGUGUCGGUUGAAAACGGCUUGGAUGAGCCGUGGGUAGGGGUGAAAGGCUAAUCAAACCUCGUUAUAGCUCGUUCUCCUCGAAAUAGCUUUAGGGCUAGCCUCGUGGGUUGCAUCACGGNNGUAGAGCACUGAAAUGGACUAGGGGGCCUACCAGCUUACCGAAUCCAAUCAAACUCCGAAUGCCGUGAAUGUGGACCACGGGAGUCAGACUGCGGGGGAUAAGCUCCGUAGUCGAGAGGGAAAGAACCCAGACCGCCAGCUAAGGUCCCCAAAUAUCAGCUAAGUGGGAAAGGAUGUGGAGACGCACUGACAGCCAGGAGGUUGGCUUAGAAGCAGCCAUCCUUUAAAGAAAGCGUAAUAGCUCACUGGUCAAGUGGCUCCGUGCCGAUAAUUCAACGGGGCUAAAGCUGAUUACCGAAGCUGCGGAUUUCGAGCGCCCUCCGGGGAGCUCGAAGUGGUAGAGGAGCAUUCCGUAGGCGUUGAAGCCAGACCGCAAGGACUGGUGCAGCGUACGGAAGAGACCCUGCCGGCACAAGUAGCGAGAAAGCGCGUGAGAACCGCGCUCGCCGAAAGUCUAAGGUUUCCUGAGGAAGGUUAAUCCGCUCAGGGUUAGUCGGUCCCUAAGGCGAGGCCGAAAGGCGUAGUCGAUGGGAAACAGGCAAACAUUCCUGUACCUCUGUCAGGAGUUGAUCCAGGGGUGACGCAGAAGGAUAAGCAGGCCCACGAUUGGAAGUGUGGGUUGAAGCGUGUAGGAGGGGAUGGUAGGCAAAUCCGCCGUCCCAAUCAAAACUCCAAGGCGCGAUCUCGAAGCCUCUUUUGGCUGAAGCUGCCGACUCCAUGCUGCCAAGAAAAACCUCGAUGGGGAUCCAAAACAGAGACCGUACCGUAAACCGACACAGGUAGACGAGGAGAGAAUCCUAAGGCGCUUGAGUGAUCCCUUGUGAAGGAACUCGGCAAAUUAACACCGUAACUUCGGGAAAAGGUGUGCCGCGUAUGGUGUAAGGGUUCGCCCCUGAAGCCAUGCGUGGUCGCAGAGAAAUGGCCCAGGCGACUGUUUACUAAAAACACAGGACUCUGCAAAGUCAUAAAAACGACGUAUAGGGUCUGACGCCUGCCCGGUGCCGGAAGGUUAAGAGGAGGGGUUAGCGCAAGCGAAGCUCUGAAUCGAAGCCCCGGUAAACGGCGGCCGUAACUAUAACGGUCCUAAGGUAGCGAAAUUCCUUGUC